UUGCCCAUUCCUCCUCUAAAAUAUUCAAAAUGGCGGCUACCAUUCGGCAGGCAGGCUGUAUGGCUGUUUGACGUAUGUUUGACAUAAGUCAAAAACUUGGUUAACAUUUGAUGCUGUGAUAGUGUGAUUAUUUUCAAUUUCCCGUGUUUCAGAAAUACUCCAGUGAUGUACCGGUGUUUAACAUCUCUCAAGACACAUUUUGACUCAUCAUCGUCAUGAAUUUGGUUGUCGAGUAGUAACUUUUUGGGUAUAGGCUACCUUUUCCAGAAUUGCUUCACUUAUUGAUUGCCAUGGGAAAUUUCCUCAAAAUCACUGGAAUGCAUGGAAUAAGUUCUAAACUCCAGUUUCUAAAUUUGCAUGGCAGACUUUAUGACAAGUCAUGUCGUUUCAAGAAAGUCAACAAGGUCCCUUGUUUACUAACCUGUUAGCUGCUACCCUUGAAUCUCCCUUUUUACUUUCUAAAGAGGGCCAUUUUAACUUGAAAGUAAUCCUGCGCUACUAAUCAUGGACCUCAUCCAUUGGUGAAAACCGACGAAGGAAUGCUGUAAUUCAAGACUGAUAAAUUGUGUAGUUAGAUUUAAUUACAAGUGCAUAUCUGGGCUCCCUUCUUUUCUGUGGCCCCGUUUCCCUAACU
This is a long non-coding RNA of Daphnia pulex (common water flea), 634 nucleotides long. RefSeq lists it as uncharacterized. The record is from RefSeq and is a predicted model, not a curated record. Lineage: Eukaryota; Metazoa; Arthropoda; Branchiopoda; Diplostraca; Daphniidae. The transcript has 3 exons.